This 310-nucleotide ribosomal RNA is filed under the name uncultured bacterium. RNAcentral describes it as "bacterial SSU rRNA". It matches the Rfam family "Bacterial small subunit ribosomal RNA", at positions 28 to 334 of the family's 1533-position model. The record is from RNAcentral.
GACGAACGCUGGCGGCGCGCCUAACACAUGCAAGUCGAACGAGAGAGAGGAAGCUUGCUUCCUUAAUCGAGUGGCGAACGGGUGAGUAACGCGUGAGGAACCUGCCUCGGAGUGGGGAAUAACAGUUAGAAGUGACUGCUAAUACCGCAUAAUACAGUUGGGCCGCAUGGCUCUGACUGUCAAAGAUUUAUCGCUCUGAGAUGGCCUCGCGUCUGAUUAGCUGGUUGGUGGGGUAACGGCCCACCAAGGCGACGAUCAGUAGCCGGACUGAGAGGUUGGCCGGCCACAUUGGGACUGAGACACGGCCCAG